Molecule: RNA transcript, 1849 nt
Organism: Hordeum vulgare subsp. vulgare (domesticated barley)
Lineage: Eukaryota; Viridiplantae; Streptophyta; Magnoliopsida; Poales; Poaceae
Exons: 3
Source: RefSeq, a predicted model, not a curated record
CGUUACUACCAGGGCGGGCUGGAGCAUGAAAAACAGAGAAACAAGUAGCAGGUGAUAGACAAAAAUAGGCCGGCGCCGGCGCCACCACCGCCGUCUCCCCUACCCAUGCGGCCAUGCCACGACCAGGCCUUAUUCGUAGCGCAAGCAGCAAGAGACGACGCGGAGAAGACGACACCGUUGCGGUUGCGGAUCCGAUGUAAACGCGGUUCUGAUCUUUCUUACAAGAGAAAAUGGAUCAGCGGCAUCCUGCCGGUACCAGCGAUGGUGCUCCUCUACCCCCAAGCCUCCUCCUCGACCUGCAGGUCGACACGGCCUCGGCCGGCGACGGCGACGGCGACCGCAACGACACCACCGCCUCCUGCAACGACGUCCAGGUCACCCUGUUGGCCGCCAGCCCGCCCGGAGUCUCCCGCCUCCAGGUCUUCCGCUCCGCCGGCGCCGGCGCCUCCGCUCCCCACAUCGUCGCCACGGAGGCCGACCUGGUCCUCCUCGGCGUCCCUCUCAGCGCCGAGUCGGCACGCACCAGGUCCGGGUAUGAUUAUUUGGUUUACAAAUUGGGGGCGUCGUCAUCGCUGGAGCUGCUCCCGGGCGCUGUCCCUUCCUCCCUCUCGCUCGAUGACUCGCACGUCGGCAUCCUUCGCCGCGGCGACUCUUACUUGAUCGUGGCCCUGUGCUACACAUCCUCCCCUCGCAAGUACGACCUGCAUCUCUACGACUCCAAGAGCAGAGGAUGGACCGCAAAGCAGGCCUCGCUCGACCACCAGCAGCAGCGCAUGGAUCACUGCCAUGUCAACCGCAAGGUCAUCACCGUCGGGGGAGACGCUGGAACCAUGGCCUGGGUCGACCUCUGGCACGGCAUCCUCUUCUGCGACGUCCUCCUCGAGGACCCACGGCUUGAAUACAUCCCGUUGCCACCGCCACUACUGCCAACCAGGGAGCUCCAAGGCUGCCCAAGGAACGCUCGCGAUAUUGCCGUCAUUAACGGUCGCAUCUGCUACGUCGAGCUGCAGAUCAGAACCAUGCCAGGUUCGUCCAGGCCCAGCAGCUACAUCCCUGAUGGCUGGACCAUUGCCAUAUGGAGCACCACUGCUACUGGUCCUUGGCAUGACGACGACUGCUGGCACCAGGACUACAAACUCGACGCUUCUGAGAUCACUCAUGACAAACUGGCGCACUUUGAAGGCGUACCCGAGCCAACCUUGGUGAGGCUCCAAACAGGUCAUCCCACACUCUGCCUGCACGACACUCGACUUGUUUACCUCAUGACCAAAGUUGACUACCAGGACGAAAAGGCAUGGGUGCUUGCUGUUGACAUGAGGAACAAGACACUGCAAGCAGUUGCCAACUUCACCGCCGAUAGAGUCCCAGGCUUCUGCUAUACAUAUACACACGCCAGGGUCUCUCAAUAUCUCAAUAUGCAGGUUAGCAGGUUGAAUUUCUUAGGGGGUGCAAACAUCUAGAGCAACCUUGUGCUACCAUUGAGACGCAAACAAUAAGCAAAGGUUUCUGUUCUUCGUGACGUUAACCCUUCACAAACAGGCCGCAAGAUAAAUUCUUUUAACAAGAUAUAAAGGGUAACCUGAGAGGAUGAAGGAUGCUGCGAUCCAAGAUGGUGCCUGGGACGUCUUGGGUGAUGCAAAUGCAACACUAGCAUGGAGGGUGAAAGAAGGGUAGUGCUUCUCCUUAACAAGGACUCACUAGUAUGGUCUUCGAAAUGAGCAGAACAGCAGAACAGAAAAGAAAAAAACCGACUCGCUUGUAUGAACUUUUAGAAGAAAAAGAGACCAACACUAGUAAUGAUAGCUUGUGUAUCAGGGGAGCUAGUGAUGAAAACAUAUGUUUGUUUGUU